AAGCAGGGACAGCUUGUGGCAAUCACCGACUUCUUCGGAAUGGGCGCAGCAGCAGCAGGAACCGGCUUUAAGCACAGAGGGAUGGAGUGGGGUUGUACUCGGUGAGGGAGUUUCUUUGCUUGAUCACAUUCGAGCGUGGAGAGAAGCGGCGGCGGGAGUUGGAGGCAAUCUUUAAUGGCUCCUCAAUCAAAUUAUGCAGAUAGAUGACAACAGCAACAACAUAAUUAUGGUCAACCAUCUGUUUCUCCAUAUUCUCAAAGUUAUACUGUGCGACAUUCGUCUUCUGUGGGAUAGCAACACUCGUCAAGAUUAUGCUGUGACUUUCUUCUUCUUCUUCUUCUUUAUNUUUUUUUUGUAGGAAUUGGUGAUUAUGCACGCAUCCAUUGAAAAGCUGUGGAGUUUUUUUUUUUUCAUGUAGAAGUUUUAUGUUGCCCCAACUUCAACUAUUGAUCGAGCGCAUUCAACCAAGGAAUUUUACUUAUAAAAAUUGAUGGAGUGCAUUCAACCGAAGAAUUUUGCUUGAUGAGGAGUAAUAUAUGCGGAACAGAGGAAUGACUUUACCAGGGGAAUCACGGGGAGCAGUGAGACGGCUUUCAUCAGAGGAAUCACACUCAGCAGAUGAAUCACACUCACCAGAGGAAUGGUCUUCACCAGAGGAAUCACCAGAAACGCGGGGAAAUCUCCCGCGUGAAGCGAUUUUACUAUUAUGCCCCUGACCACGCAAGACGCAUGCUCCAGUGCUGAAUUUACCAUUUUACCCUUUACGUGUACUCUAUAAAUAGUGGCAUACGUGCUCCUUGUAAUUUACGCUAUCUUUUAUUAUCAAGCAGCAAUUUUACUCUCGUGCUCAAAAACCCCGAUUACUCUCUUUCGUCUUCUCCGAUCUAAACUAGGUACAGUUCACGAUUUCCUAACAAUUCUCCGAUAAAAUCCAUCUCCAUUUAACCAUGCUUCACCA
Molecule: long non-coding RNA, 958 nt
Filed under: Salvia miltiorrhiza (redroot sage)
Lineage: Eukaryota; Viridiplantae; Streptophyta; Magnoliopsida; Lamiales; Lamiaceae
Description: long non-coding RNA (SMIL_LNC004753)
Source: RNAcentral